AAGAUAAGCCAGGCAUGUCUCAGUACAAGCCAAAUUAUGGUGAGACCGCGAAAGGCUCAUUAAAUCAGUUAUGGUUCCUUAGAUCGUACCCACAUUUACUUGGAUAACUGUGGUAAUUCUAGAGCUAAUACAUGCAAAUAGAGCUCCGACCGGAGACGGAAGGAGCGCUUUUAUUAGAUCAAAACCAAUCGGUGGCGGGCUUGCUCGUCAUCGUACAACUUGGUGACUCUGAAUAACUUUACGCUGAUCGCACGGUCUCGCACCGGCGACGCAUCUUUCAAAUGUCUGCCUUAUCAACUGUCGAUGGUAGGUUCUGCGCCUACCAUGGUUGUAACGGGUAACGGGGAAUCAGGGUUCGAUUCCGGAGAGGGAGCCUGAAAAACGGCUACCACAUCCAAGGAAGGCAGCAGGCGCGCAAAUUACCCACUCCCGGCACGGGGAGGUAGUGACGAAAAAUAACGAUACGGGACUCAUCCGAGGCCCCGUAAUCGGAAUGAGUACACUCUAAACCCUUUAACGAGGAUCAAUUGGAGGACAAGGGGAGUUUCUAAGAUAAGCCAUGCAUGUCUCAGUACAAGCCAAAUUAAGGUGAGACCGCGAAAGGCUCAUUAAAUCAGUUAUGGUUCCUUAGAUCGUACCCACAUUUACUUGGAUAACUGUGGUAAUUCUAGAGCUAAUACAUGCAAAUAGAGCUCCGACCGGAGACGGAAGGAGCGCUUUUAUUAGAUCAAAACCAAUCGGUGG
RNAcentral lists this ribosomal RNA (744 nucleotides) under Lindbladia tubulina. RNAcentral describes it as "bacterial SSU rRNA". The stretch from base 1 to 553 matches the Rfam family "Eukaryotic small subunit ribosomal RNA", at positions 40 to 596 of the family's 1831-position model. The record is from RNAcentral. Lineage: Eukaryota; Evosea; Eumycetozoa; Liceales; Cribrariaceae.